UAGGGAAUAUUGGGCAAUGGAGGGAACUCUGACCCAGCCAUGCCGCGUGCGGGAUGAAGGCGUUAUGCGUUGUAAACUGCUUUUAUAUAGGAAGAAAUAGUCCUUGCGAGGAAAGUUGACGGUACUAUAUGAAUAAGCACCGGCUAACUCCGUGCCAGCAGCCGCGGUAAUACGGAGGGUGCAAGCGUUGUCCGGAUUUAUGGGUUUAAAGGUGCGUAGGCGGUUUAUUAAGUCAGUGGUGAAAGACGGUCGCUCAACGAUUGCAGUGCCAUUGAUACUGGUAGACUUGAGUAUGAUUGAGGUAGCUGGAAUGGAUAGUGUAGCGGUGAAAUGCAUAGAUAUUAUCCAGAACACCAAUUGCGUAGGCAAGUUACUAAAGUCAUAACUGACGCUGAGGCACGAAAGUGUGGGUAUCAAACAGGAUUAGAUACCCCAGUAGUCCCUGAGCGGGCUGGCAAGGCGCAU
Molecule: ribosomal RNA, 465 nt
Filed under: uncultured bacterium
Lineage: Bacteria
Description: bacterial SSU rRNA
Rfam family: Bacterial small subunit ribosomal RNA
Source: RNAcentral